AGCUGUUUUGGGACUCCUACUCCCAUCAUCCCUAGCUAGCAGGACCAGUGGUCAGGGAUGCUGGGAGUUGCAGUCCCAAAACAGCU
This 86-nucleotide microRNA precursor is filed under the name Podarcis lilfordi (Lilford's wall lizard). Lineage: Eukaryota; Metazoa; Chordata; Lepidosauria; Squamata; Lacertidae. The record is from RNAcentral.